UUGGUCAAAAAGUUUGUUCGGGUUUUUCCAUAAAAUGUUAUGGAAAAACCUGAACGAAAAUUUUGGCUAA
Molecule: microRNA precursor, 70 nt
Filed under: Tursiops truncatus (common bottlenose dolphin)
Lineage: Eukaryota; Metazoa; Chordata; Mammalia; Artiodactyla; Delphinidae
Description: miRNA (ENSTTRG00000025096.1)
Source: RNAcentral